RNAcentral lists this ribosomal RNA (254 nucleotides) under uncultured bacterium. RNAcentral describes it as "partial 16S ribosomal RNA". It matches the Rfam family "Bacterial small subunit ribosomal RNA", at positions 524 to 777 of the family's 1533-position model. The record is from RNAcentral.
UACGAAGGGUGCGAGCGUUGUUCGGAAUUACUGGGCGUAAAGGGUUUGUAGGCUGAAAUGUAAGUCAAGUGUGAAAUCCCCGAGCUAAACUUGGGACGUGCAUUUGAAACUGUGUUUCUUGAGUAUCGUAGAGGGUGGUGGAAUUGUAGGUGUAGGAGUGACAUCCGUAGAGAUCUGCAGGAACAUCAGAGGCGAAGGCGACCACCUGGCCGAUAACUGACGCUGAGGAACGAAAGCGUGGGGAGCAAACAGGG